AUGCACGCUGGCGGCGUGCCUAAUCCCUGCCAGUCGAGCGAACAGACGAGGAGCUUGCUCCUUUGACGUUAGCGGCGGACGGGUGAGUAACACGUGGGUAACCUACCUAUAAGCCUGGGAUAACUUCGGGAAACCGGAGCUAAUACCGGAUAAUAUUUCGAACCGCCUGGUUCGAUAGUGAAAGAUGGCUUUGCUAUCACUUAUAGAUGGACCUGCGCCGUAUUAGCUAGUUGGUAAGGUAACGGCUUACCAAGGCAACGAUACGUAGCCGACCUGAGAGGGUGAUCGGCCACACUGGAACUGAGACACGGUCCAGACUCCUACGGGAGGCAGCAGUAGGGAAUCUUCCGCAAUGGGCGAAAGCCUGACGGAGCAACGCCGCGUGAGUGAUGAAGGUCUUCGGAUCGUAAAACUCUGUUAUUAGGGAAGAACAAACGUGUAAGUAACUGUGCACGUCUUGACGGUACCUAAUCAGAAAGCCACGGCUAACUACGUG
Molecule: ribosomal RNA, 496 nt
Filed under: uncultured bacterium
Lineage: Bacteria
Description: partial 16S ribosomal RNA
Rfam family: Bacterial small subunit ribosomal RNA
Source: RNAcentral